This 326-nucleotide ribosomal RNA is filed under the name uncultured eukaryote. Its description in RNAcentral is "partial 18S ribosomal RNA". It matches the Rfam family "Eukaryotic small subunit ribosomal RNA", at positions 1470 to 1796 of the family's 1831-position model. The record is from RNAcentral.
CCCUUAGAUGUUCUGGGCCGCACGCGCGCUACACUGAUGCAUUCAACGAGUCCAACCUUGACCGAGAGGUCCGGGUAAUCUUUGAAACUGCAUCGUGAUGGGGCUAGAUUAUUGCAAUUAUUAAUCUUCAACGAGGAAUGCCUAGUAAGCGUGAUUCAUCAAAUCGCGUUGAUUACGUCCCCGCCCUUUGUACACACCGCCCGUCGCUCCUACCGAUUGAGUGUGUUGGUGAGGAGUUUGGAUUGGCCUCGGAAGGUGGUUCGCCACCGUCCGUAGCUGAGAAGUUCUCCAAACCGCCCCACUUAGAGGAAGGAGAAGUCGUANCA